RNAcentral lists this ribosomal RNA (397 nucleotides) under uncultured bacterium. RNAcentral describes it as "partial 16S ribosomal RNA". It matches the Rfam family "Bacterial small subunit ribosomal RNA", at positions 360 to 774 of the family's 1533-position model. The record is from RNAcentral.
AAUAUUGCACAAUGGGGGAAACCCUGAUGCAGCGACGCCGCGUGAGCGACGAAGGCCCUCGGGUCGUAAAGCUCUUUCCUAAUGGAAGAAACGGCCGGUACCUUUGGAGGAAGCCCGGGCCAACUACGUGACAGCCGUCGCGGUAAUACGUAGGCGGCGAGCGUUAUCCGGAAUUAUUGGGCGUAAAGGGGGCGUAGGCGGCUUUUUAAGUCAGAUGUGAAAGACCAAGGCUUAACCGUGGGGUUGCAAUUGAAACUGGAAGGCUUAAGUAUCGGAGAGGGUAGUGGAAUUCCCAGUGUAGCGGUGAAAUGCGUAGAUAUUGGGAGGAACACCAGUGGCGAAGGCGACUACCUGGACGAAAACUGACGCUGAUGCACGAAAGCUAGGGGAGCAAACA